Molecule: ribosomal RNA, 484 nt
Filed under: uncultured bacterium
Lineage: Bacteria
Description: partial 16S ribosomal RNA
Rfam family: Bacterial small subunit ribosomal RNA
Source: RNAcentral
AUUGAACGCUGGCGGCAUGCUUUGCACAUGCAAGUCGAACGGCAGCGCGGGCUUCGGCCUGGCGGCGAGUGGCGAACGGGUGAGUAAUACAUCGGAACGUGCCCAGUAGUGGGGGAUAGCUCGGCGAAAGCCGGAUUAAUACCGCAUACGACCUGAGGGUGAAAGCGGGGGAUCUUCGGACCUCGCGCUAUUGGAGCGGCCGAUGGCAGAUUAGCUAGUUGGUGGGGUAAAGGCCUACCAAGGCGACGAUCUGUAGCUGGUCUGAGAGGACGACCAGCCACACUGGGACUGAGACACGGCCCAGACUCCUACGGGAGGCAGCAGUGGGGAAUGUUGGACAAUGGGCGAAAGCCUGAUCCAGCAAUGCCGCGUGUGUGAUGAAGGCCUUCGGGUUGUAAAGCACUUUUGGCGGGAACGAAAAGGACUGUGCCAAUACCACGGUUCGAUGACGGUACCCGCAGAAUAAGCACCGGCUAACUACGUG